AUUACGGGGUGCAGCAGGCGCGAAAACUUCACACUGCGCGAAAGCGCGAUGAGGGAAUCCCAAGUGCUUGCACGUUAGUGUAAGCUGUUUCUAUGUUUAAAUUGCAUAGAGAGUAAGAGCUGGGUAAGACGGGUGCCAGCCGCCGCGGUAAUACCUGCAGCUCAAGUGGUGGCCGUUAUUAUUGGGCCUAAAACGUCCGUAGCCGGCUUGUUAAAUGCCUGGGUAAAUCGUAAAGCUUAACCUUACGAAUUCCGGGUAGACUGAUAGGCUUGGGACCGGGAGAAGCUAGAGGUACUCCUGGGGUAGAGGUGAAAUUCUGUAAUCCUAGGGGGACCACCAGUGGCGAAGGCGUCUAGCUAGAACGGGUUUGACGGUGAGGGACAAAGCCCUGGGGAGCAAACGGGAUUAGAUACCCCGGUAGUCCAGGGUGUAAACGCUGCUUGCUUGAUGUUAGUCGGGCUCCGAGCCCGAUUAGUGUCGGAGAGAAGUUGUUAAGCAAGCUGCCUGGGAAGUACGGCCGCAAGACUGAAACUUAAAGGAAUUGGCGGGGGAGCACAAU
Molecule: ribosomal RNA, 559 nt
Filed under: uncultured archaeon
Lineage: Archaea
Description: bacterial SSU rRNA
Rfam family: Archaeal small subunit ribosomal RNA
Source: RNAcentral